CUCCGCUACAGCCAGCGUCACGGUCAAUAUACUGGACACCAAUGAGUUCCCACCUUUCUACUCCCCCUAAGUAUUUGUUUAAGUAACACGACUUCACUGGGCACUAGACUUAGCCAAAUAACCCUUAUGUUUCUUAUGGAUAUUGAUGAUAGAUUACAUUAGGUCAUGUCUAUGUCCAGGAGUUUUCCACAUUAUGUGACCAUGACUUUAACCACUACAACUUGGGUCCAUAGUUUUUUCCUGAUUAGGUUACAUGGUCUGAAGAAACUUGGAUGAAAUCAUGUGUGGAUUGCAGGGCCUAAAAUCCUGACUCAGGGGGAGGCAGCGUAGAGAGGACACGGGUCUAUAAUGUUAGAGUAAUGGUGGUCAUUAGGACAAGACAAGCAUCAUACAGUCUGACCUCCUUCACUACAGAUGAAUGACCACCCAGAGUCUGUAUGGUCUACUUCAUACAGUCUGAUCUCCUUCACUACAGAUGAAUGACCACCCAGAGUCUGUAUGGUCUACAUCAUACCCACCAUCAUUAUCCCUGUCAGACCACAACCUAAUUAUCAAUGAUGAUCUGUGUUAUUGGACAAAGGUUGGGGAUAAUUGGGACCUAUGGUCUUAGCUGAAUUACUUUAGAACUGCUUUGAAUCAGUGGACAGCUCCAGGUAAACCUGAUAAUGACACAAUGCAUAACAUUUGAUGUUCUAUGACUAUUAGUGUGUAUUGUUGUGCUUUUAAAAUAUGUUGUGUCUUGAUAAAUCAAGUGAAUCUUCCUGCCAGGUGAACAACACUCUAGACUACGCCAAUAACUUCCAGUAUGAGGCCACCAUCUUGGCUACAUACACAGGCACCCCUCCUCUCGCAUGUUCCCUGGGUGUCUUGUACACAGUACUCCAUCAUCUAUGUGGAAGGUUACAUCAAGGUCACAUGAUGGCAGUGAUGUAACCCAGUCCUUUCAUCUGUAUCCAGCCCAGGUGCUGGUGACUGUGACCCCACUCAAUAAGUUUGACCCAGGGUUUCUGACUGUGUUUCAGUGUCUCAGAGGGCACCAGGCCUGGUAUGGCAGUGGGGAUGGUGGGGGCCAGAGACAGACUGGCCCUUUGACAUAAUCCACUACUCCAUCACUUCAGGAGAGGCCAUGUUCACUAUGGACCCUGAGGGAGGGGAGCUGUAUCUGGGUGGAGAGCUGGACUUUGAGCAGCAACAGGUGUAUGUAGUGGGGGUUCAGGCUGAGGACGAUGACCAGGGUGUGGACCGUACCAACGACAAGUGGAGUUGAUGAAUGGGCAAAGAGCUAAUGCACCCUUGUACAUGUAUCUAGUACAGUAUAACCGAAUACAUCCUUUCAGACAUGUAUCUAUACAGUAUAAUACCAUAGCUUAAAUAUGGUACCAUCCUCUGAUAGGACAAGAGACAGGAAGAGAGACAGAUUUAAGUGAAAAUGUCAGUUAAACAUGGAGAACGUAAUUUAGGAUUCAGCUCUUUCUGUUUUUCAAAGCAUCGAGGAUAUUAUAAAACAUUGAUUUUCAUGACAUAAUAUCGAAGAGAUAAAAAUCUGACAAUUCUCAUCUUGAAAGUUAGAUCUUUCACAAAACUAUAGAGUACAUCAGGGUUGGUGAGGUUAGUGCUGACAGUGGCUAUAAUAUCCUCGGGUCCUUGGUUUUCAAAGAUUCUGGGAAACUAGUGUCACGUUCGGACCUUAGUUCCUUUGUUUUGUCUUUGUUUAGUAUGGUCAGGGCGUGAGUUGGGUGGGUUGUCUGUUAGUUUUUCUAUAUUUUCUAUUUCUGUGUUUGGCCUGAUAUGGUUCUCAAUCAGAGGCAGCUGUUUAUCGUUGUCCUUGAUUGAGAACCAUAUUUAGGUAGCCUGUUUUCCAUUGUGUUUUGUGGG
Molecule: long non-coding RNA, 1875 nt
Organism: Oncorhynchus tshawytscha (Chinook salmon)
Lineage: Eukaryota; Metazoa; Chordata; Actinopteri; Salmoniformes; Salmonidae
Source: Ensembl